UUUGGUUUGCUGCCUAUUUGUUUUGAUAAUGAAAAAAAAGGGGAGAAUGCUUAUGAUGGUAUAUAUAUAGUUGAGAGUUUGGUUGAUUGAGCUUAUUUGAUGAUUACUGAGAGUUUGGGUGAUUGAAAGUAUGUUGGAAUUUUGAAUGAGUUGAACAGUUUGAUGAUGAUGGUAUAUAUGUGUUGAUAUAUGCUGAAAUAGUUUGGUUGAUUGAGUUUACAUAGAACACUUUCACUUUUGAGUCCAAGCAUCAUGUUCACAUAGUGACACUGCUACUUGAACAAAGUGACAUAAAUAAGCAGGGGAUGCAGUGCACAGAGAGAUCCACAUUUUUUACAGAACAUUUGAGAUGCUUAAGCGGUGUUUUCAUUUGCAUUUAAAGACAGUCCUUGGAGGGGUUCACUUGCUCGAUGUUGUCUAUAGCAACAAUUGCAGUGCUCAUUUUAUUUCAUUACAUCUGUUUCCAGAGAACGGACAUAAGUCAUAGAUGAGCAAGGGGAACAACGAUAAAAUUCUUGAAGACAUGGAGUGCUUGACAAUUAUGCUGUAAUAGGUAUUUGAAGAUACAAGUCGAGCAGGAACUGUUGAUAUUAGUUGUGAAUAAUACGUAAAUUCUAGCCAUACUUGUAAUAAUUUUUUGAUUUUCAUUAUAGGGAGAGAUUAGAAUAAUAUGAAACUCAUAGUUUUUUUUUUUUUCUCAUUUUUUAUGAUUGUAGAGGGUAUAAAAGCUCUUAUGAUGAUUGUAAUCAAUACAUUUUGAAUGUAAAUGAUCAUUUUUUGUAUAUAUCUUGUUUUCUACUAAAUUCAUGUGAUCA
This is a long non-coding RNA of Diospyros lotus (date-plum), 815 nucleotides long. RefSeq lists it as uncharacterized. Lineage: Eukaryota; Viridiplantae; Streptophyta; Magnoliopsida; Ericales; Ebenaceae. The transcript has 3 exons. The record is from RefSeq and is a predicted model, not a curated record.